This 68-nucleotide transfer RNA is filed under the name Bolitobius castaneus. RNAcentral describes it as "tRNA-Trp". The record is from RNAcentral. Lineage: Eukaryota; Metazoa; Arthropoda; Insecta; Coleoptera; Staphylinidae.
AAGGAUUUAAGUUAAAAAUAAACCCACAACCUUCAAAGUUGUACAUAAAGCAGUACCUUUAAGCCUUA